This 742-nucleotide ribosomal RNA is filed under the name uncultured Salinivibrio sp. Its description in RNAcentral is "bacterial SSU rRNA". It matches the Rfam family "Bacterial small subunit ribosomal RNA", at positions 571 to 1312 of the family's 1533-position model. Lineage: Bacteria; Pseudomonadati; Pseudomonadota; Gammaproteobacteria; Vibrionales; Vibrionaceae. The record is from RNAcentral.
GCAGGCGGUUUGUUAAGUCAGAUGUGAAAGCCCGGGGCUCAACCUCGGAACCGCAUUUGAAACUGGCAGGCUAGAGUCUUGUAGAGGGGGGUAGAAUUUCAGGUGUAGCGGUGAAAUGCGUAGAGAUCUGAAGGAAUACCAGUGGCGAAGGCGGCCCCCUGGACAAAGACUGACGCUCAGAUGCGAAAGCGUGGGUAGCAAACAGGAUUAGAUACCCUGGUAGUCCACGCCGUAAACGCUGUCUACUUGGAGGUUGAGGUUUAAGACUUUGGCUUUCGGCGCUAACGCAUUAAGUAGACCGCCUGGGGAGUACGGCCGCAAGGUUAAAACUCAAAUGAAUUGACGGGGGCCCGCACAAGCGGUGGAGCAUGUGGUUUAAUUCGAUGCAACGCGAAGAACCUUACCUACUCUUGACAUCCAGCGAAGCCUUUAGAGAUAGAGGCGUGCCUUCGGGAGCGCUGAGACAGGUGCUGCAUGGCUGUCGUCAGCUCGUGUUGUGAAAUGUUGGGUUAAGUCCCGCAACGAGCGCAACCCUUAUCCUUGUUUGCCAGCACAUAAUGGUGGGAACUCCAGGGAGACUGCCGGUGAUAAACCGGAGGAAGGUGGGGACGACGUCAAGUCAUCAUGGCCCUUACGAGUAGGGCUACACACGUGCUACAAUGGCAGAUACAGAGGGCAGCGAGACAGCGAUGUUUAGCGAAUCCCUUAAAGUUUGUCGUAGUCCGGAUUGGAGUCUGCAACU